This 932-nucleotide long non-coding RNA is filed under the name Setaria viridis. Its description in RNAcentral is "long non-coding RNA (SVIR_LNC005470)". Lineage: Eukaryota; Viridiplantae; Streptophyta; Magnoliopsida; Poales; Poaceae. The record is from RNAcentral.
GAUGGUUGCUUUGAUGGUUACUCCAAUGGACCAUCGAUGUCGUUAGAAUAUCUGGUGCUACUGAUUUUUCUAAGUUUAGUACCGCCAUUUGAGCAUCAUGAAUACCACCAUUUCAGCACCAUGAAUACUGAUUUCUCUGGAUUUUCUCCAUCAUUUCGACACUUGAGUACCAUAGAAUAAUCCUAGAUACCAUGGCCUAGUCAAUUGAAUAUCAUAGCUUGGAUACUCGAAUACCAUGAUUUGGAUAUCAAGAAUACUGUCAUUUGGACCUUGCCAUGGUUUGAUUUGCAUUCUUGGGACCUAUAAAAUGUAUAAAACCUACAAGAUACAUGCUAGAAAAGCCAUUAGUCCCAAUGACUAUAUUGUCACUCAAUUAUCAAAUCACAAACAAUGGCCUAAUAUGGCCAUGUUCCUUACACCUAUAGACAAGAAAAACAUAAAAAACACAGUUUAACAUGUGGGACCCAUGCGCCAAUUCUCUCCUUAUCUCUUCCCCACCUCAUUCCAUUCGCUCAUCUCCCCCUUAUACUUUUCCCCUCUCUCUCCCUUAUCCUCCCAUCCCCUCUUUGCUCUACACCUCUGCCAAGAACAACAGCAAAUCGGAGCUGAUGUAACUUUUUUUACUAUAAACUUAAAUAAAAGACAAUCUAUCAAAUGUAGUUGUACUUAAACAACUUUGAAAUCCCAAUCCUAAAUUACAAAAAUCUAAAAAACAUAAACCCAAAACCGAGGUCCCUGAAAACCCAAUAAAUAAAUAUUGGGAAACAAGUUAUGUUGUAUGUCAAAUAAAAACUUGUGUAAAAGACAACAUGGCAACUUUCAUGGAUAAUCUAGUGAUAAAUUUACACAUAAGUUGACAGAAUACUUAUAUAUAACUUGCCAAUAGACAUAAUUAUUAUCAAAACAUAUAUAACAUGGAUACAUUUUAUUAA